RNAcentral lists this ribosomal RNA (1529 nucleotides) under Neisseria gonorrhoeae. RNAcentral's name for it is "bacterial SSU rRNA". It matches the Rfam family "Bacterial small subunit ribosomal RNA". The record is from RNAcentral. Lineage: Bacteria; Pseudomonadati; Pseudomonadota; Betaproteobacteria; Neisseriales; Neisseriaceae.
AGAGUUUGAUCCUGGCUCAGAUUGAACGCUGGCGGCAUGCUUUACACAUGCAAGUCGGACGGCAGCACAGGGAAGCUUGCUUCUCGGGUGGCGAGUGGCGAACGGGUGAGUAACAUAUCGGAACGUACCGGGUAGCGGGGGAUAACUGAUCGAAAGAUCAGCUAAUACCGCAUACGUCUUGAGAGGGAAAGCAGGGGACCUUCGGGCCUUGCGCUAUCCGAGCGGCCGAUAUCUGAUUAGCUGGUUGGCGGGGUAAAGGCCCACCAAGGCGACGAUCAGUAGCGGGUCUGAGAGGAUGAUCCGCCACACUGGGACUGAGACACGGCCCAGACUCCUACGGGAGGCAGCAGUGGGGAAUUUUGGACAAUGGGCGCAAGCCUGAUCCAGCCAUGCCGCGUGUCUGAAGAAGGCCUUCGGGUUGUAAAGGACUUUUGUCAGGGAAGAAAAGGCCGUUGCCAAUAUCGGCGGCCGAUGACGGUACCUGAAGAAUAAGCACCGGCUAACUACGUGCCAGCAGCCGCGGUAAUACGUAGGGUGCGAGCGUUAAUCGGAAUUACUGGGCGUAAAGCGGGCGCAGACGGUUACUUAAGCAGGAUGUGAAAUCCCCGGGCUCAACCCGGGAACUGCGUUCUGAACUGGGUGACUCGAGUGUGUCAGAGGGAGGUGGAAUUCCACGUGUAGCAGUGAAAUGCGUAGAGAUGUGGAGGAAUACCGAUGGCGAAGGCAGCCUCCUGGGAUAACACUGACGUUCAUGUCCGAAAGCGUGGGUAGCAAACAGGAUUAGAUACCCUGGUAGUCCACGCCCUAAACGAUGUCAAUUAGCUGUUGGGCAACUUGAUUGCUUGGUAGCGUAGCUAACGCGUGAAAUUGACCGCCUGGGGAGUACGGUCGCAAGAUUAAAACUCAAAGGAAUUGACGGGGACCUGCACAAGCGGUGGAUGAUGUGGAUUAAUUCGAUGCAACGCGAAGAACCUUACCUGGUUUUGACAUGUGCGGAAUCCUCCGGAGACGGAGGAGUGCCUUCGGGAGCCGUAACACAGGUGCUGCAUGGCUGUCGUCAGCUCGUGUCGUGAGAUGUUGGGUUAAGUCCCGCAACGAGCGCAACCCUUGUCAUUAGUUGCCAUCAUUCGGUUGGGCACUCUAAUGAGACUGCCGGUGACAAGCCGGAGGAAGGUGGGGAUGACGUCAAGUCCUCAUGGCCCUUAUGACCAGGGCUUCACACGUCAUACAAUGGUCGGUACAGAGGGUAGCCAAGCCGCGAGGCGGAGCCAAUCUCACAAAACCGAUCGUAGUCCGGAUUGCACUCUGCAACUCGAGUGCAUGAAGUCGGAAUCGCUAGUAAUCGCAGGUCAGCAUACUGCGGUGAAUACGUUCCCGGGUCUUGUACACACCGCCCGUCACACCAUGGGAGUGGGGGAUACCAGAAGUAGGUAGGGUAACCGCAAGGAGCCCGCUUACCACGGUAUGCUUCAUGACUGGGGUGAAGUCGUAACAAGGUAGCCGUAGGGGAACCUGCGGCUGGAUCACCU